ACCUUACCAUUUAAAAAGAAAAUGAAAACAAAAAAUGGAGGAAUAUAUGGGAUUUAUGGAUAACGUAGUCUUAGAUACACUAGGUCUGAAAUGAAAGCUUGUUUCUUAUUUGACCAGAACCAUAAGGAGCUAAUCAACUGGGUUUUUUUAGUUGCUCUAUGGGGUGAAAUUUUUAAAGAAAAGUUUUUCGAGACAAAAAUGUAAUUUCAAAAUGACAUCGUUGCCAAGCCAAAAAGAGAGGAAGGUGGGAGGAGGUUUCUCAGUCAGCUUCUCCCAGACAAUUUUUCAGAUGUAAUUAAAAAUAGUACCAGUAGUAUGAAGAGCAACAACAAUAUCAACAGCAGCAAAAACAACAACAGUAGUAACAGCAAGAAUAAUGACAUGUCAAGCAAAGAAGUUUGAAAAAUAACCAGCAGCAAAUUAUGCAUUGCCAACUGCCACCUCCACCACCCAAAUAAAACAUAAUAAUGGCAAUGACAAUAUUUCUAACUGUAUUAAAAAUUCAUCCAAAAAUAUUUUGUCAAAAUAACAAAUGUCUUUGAUGUCAUCCCAUUAGAGAACAAGCAUGAACAUUUAAAAGAGGUAGAGAAACAUAUAAACCCACUGGAACAGGGACAAGUUACACUUAAUAUACCACAACACCUCUUGGGCCAAACAGAAAAGAAAGCAAUUAUGUAUAGAUGCUUGUUGACGAAAAGACGCAAGAUUAAGCACAUACCUUCAAACCAAGCUUGAAAGAAUAUCUGGCCUGACAUCAGUUUUGUGAGCCAUGCUCACAAAUUUAGAUAUAUUAGAGUAAUUUUCCACUUUGAAAUUUUAACACAGAUGCACUCCACUAUCGCACAAAAAAAAAAGAAAAAAGGAAGAAACCAGAAAUUUUCACAUUUUUACCAAUGUACUCAGGACAGAUAGUGAUCCAAGUAACAUCAUACACAUACUACAAGAACUAGAUUUCCAGUGAGUGGUUUUAGAUGAUCCUAGAGCACUUCUAGGAAUAAAGAGAUUUCAAAAAGAAAAUUGUAUUCAAGUGGGGUUAGAAAUUUUGAUUCAUGUCAAACCUGAGACACUCAACAAAAUCCAACCAAAUAAGGCUUUCAGGAAGGUUGCAACUACAGGUAGUUGUGGAAGGCUGAAGAUCACAAUACUGCAACUUAAGAAAUACAAACCAGCUCAAGGCUGCCUGUCCAAGCAACAAAGACUGAUAACUGAUAGGAAACCUCCACUGUUGCCAACACUACAACUGCAACAACAGCAACCAGAAACAACAGUGACAAAAAAGAACAAAACAAACACCAUCAACAUGAAACAUCAUGCCACCAACAGAAAGGCCCCCAAACAUCAAAACAAAAGAUAAUUACCCCUAAGACAAGAUCCUUCCUGCUCAGACAUGUUAUGUGGCAAAGUGGAUGGUGAGGAGCCUAAAUGGC
This is a long non-coding RNA of Octopus sinensis (East Asian common octopus), 1427 nucleotides long. RefSeq lists it as uncharacterized. The transcript is spliced from 2 exons. NCBI's taxonomy places the organism in Eukaryota, Metazoa, Mollusca, Cephalopoda, Octopoda, Octopodidae. The record is from RefSeq and is a predicted model, not a curated record.